Molecule: long non-coding RNA, 1663 nt
Organism: Mya arenaria
Lineage: Eukaryota; Metazoa; Mollusca; Bivalvia; Myida; Myidae
Exons: 2
Source: RefSeq, a predicted model, not a curated record
ACGAGGCUCUAAUAAUUAUUUCACGUCCUGAUUCUUGAAAAUACGUGACAAUUCUACAGCCAUUUAAAGGUUGAUUAAAUUUGGACGAUCGUCUUUGUUUCAAUAUGGCUCCCGCUAAAAGGAAACGUACAUAAUUAUACUGGUAAAGAAGUGUUGAAUUGCGUCGUGAAUGACAGUAAAAGUGAUGAUCCAAAGUUUGAUUCGAAUGACAGUUACAGUAAAAAGACAGUUUGCAAUCAGUCAUCUGCACCUGCUACACAUGUCCCGGUAGAAACAUUAGAUUCCUCAGACGCAGCGGAUCAUGAAAUUCUGUCCCUGUGAGGCAACGAGGGCGUGCUCGUGGUGGAGGCAUUAGUCGCGGUUGAGCCGAUGGUCGUUGACAGAACGAGGACGCUAAAUAUAAACCUGACUGACAUUCCUAUGUGUUUCAUGCCAUACUAUGAGCUUUACCAUUCACACAAAAACAUUAAACAAGCCAAAGAAAGAAUUGUGUAUAAUUUGUAAAUAAAAGUAAAAAGGAAAACAAAUCAUGUCAAUACUGUGAUUGGAAAAAAGUAUGAAUCACACUUUGUGUUGUGAAUAAAUGUUUAUAUUUUUUUUCAAUGAUCAUGUGUAUAUUUAAGGUGGAACGCGACUAUGAAUUUUUUUUCGAGUUACUGUUUGAAAAUAUGUAUACGAAUAGAAGAGCAUAUGCCCAGUUAGGAACUGUUUUUACUUUUUCAAUAUUCGAAACAGUUUUGAAACUACGAGUCUUCAAAACAUGCCACUGACGUCAAUUUUGAGACGUCUAUCAUAUUUUUGAGCUCCAGCUACAAUAACCGAUAUUUUCACCAAUUCUUCGUUUACCGCUAUGAAAUUUCAACAUCAAGUGCGUCUUGUGAAAACGUUCACGCUCAUAUUUUUUUCGUUCUCUUAUUUUACGUUUUUUACAUUAAAUGUGUCUAAAACGUCAAUUUUCGUGGGAAAAAAAGGCGUGGCGUUUCGCUAAAAAAAAUGCGCCUUUCUUUAUUUUUUGUAAAAAUUGCUCGUUUAAUUUUUGAUUUUUUUAAAUAAAUUUAUUUAAAAUUUUAUUACAAAACGCCUGGUAUCAAAAAAAGUAUGCCUCACCGACUUCGUUUUUGCGUAAUAUUACUUUAUAUAACCCCUAUACCUGUUUCCCAAUCAAUACGUAUUAUAGUGAAACGUUUAGAAUGACAAUUGACGUUUAUAAUAUUUCUUAAUACACAUCAAAAAUGUUUCAAGUCAUUGGGACUAUGCUGAUUAAUUCCUUGUUGAUAACCAUUCAGCUUCAAAAAACAACAACACAAAAACAGUUCUACUACUUUAUUAGUUAUAUUUGUUUUAGAUUUGUAUCAGAGAGUUGCAGAGAUAAAACUUUAGAUUAAGCAACAACAUGGUAAAUCUACCUUGUGGCAUACCUCACUAACACAAUUAAACUGAAAACCAGAAAAUUGACAGAAAUCUGUACUACAUUGUAAUAUGUACAAGCGGAUCCAGGCGGGGGUGCCCCCCUCCCCCCUGCACACAACAAACACAUAUGCAUGUAUAUACAUUACAGAUAUUUAUAAACAUUUUAUAUUUCAGUUGAAAUACAAUGUUAAAAUUGCUAAAACGAUCGCAAUUUAUAUGAUUAAUGCAGUAAAAUGCUGUUUGAUUUUAUUAA